Molecule: long non-coding RNA, 247 nt
Organism: Bufo bufo (common toad)
Lineage: Eukaryota; Metazoa; Chordata; Amphibia; Anura; Bufonidae
Exons: 3
Source: RefSeq, a predicted model, not a curated record
AAAAAAAACGGAAGAGCCAAGCGACGCUCCAACCUCAGAUUUGUCAACGACGCGUGGUUCCCUUCCUUAGAUUUGUCAAAGAAAAAGGUGUCACUGGCAAAACAAGAGUAAAAAAAAAAAGGAAGAGCUAAGCGACGCUCCAACCUCAGAUUUGUCAACGACGCGUGGUUCCCUUUCUUAGAUUUGUCAAAGAAAAAGGUGUCACUGGCAAAACAAGAGUAAAUAAAAAAGGAAGAGCUAAGCGGCG